GUCAGGCCAAGGCAAACACAUGCACGCAAAACAAAAAACACACACACACAAAUGUUAAAUAACUACAUACAGGAGCAAUUUAGCUCUGCCGUAAUUUGUAGAUAGUGUCUGACAACCUUGCUGGAGAAGUUUUCACCCCAGAAAUGCUAAGUAGUCCCAGCAGGAGUCAGUCAGGAAGAGGAGAGGGGCUCUUUGCUUUUUAAUGUAUUCUUCUGGAGCCCAGAGGCCUCCGAAACGCGGCGCGUCUUCACCGCUGCGCUGUACACACACGCGCUAGCUCGCUCGCUCGCGCGCGUACGAGCGCGCGAGCUCACAUAACUGUCGGCCUCUGAAGGAGCAGCGCUAAUGGGGCUGUUUUUAAUGAGCCAGGAAGAGGAGAGUGACCCUUCGAAGAACCUGGAGAGCAUCCUGUGUCUCCUCUGCUGGGAAUCUUCUGCUACUUCUAGGAGUCAAGGAUGGAGAAGAAGAAGAAGAAAAGGAAGAAGAAGAAGCAGUCAGCCUGAGGAUAUAUAGCUGUGACAUUUUAUCUCGCAGCCCCGGGUUCAUUGUGUUGGCAGAACAUGUGGAGCUGCAGAGCAAUCUGUGAACACACGGCUAGAAGUAAUGGUUCUUCUGAUGUUCAGCGUCUCGCAGAGGAAACAAAUGCACCGACUAACCAGAUGGGACGCGCCUUAUAGUGUGUGUUAAUAUUUCGGUGGUUAAAAUAGAUGGAGAAGAAGAGGAGGAGGAGCGGAAGAAGAUCAUUUCAUACAUCAUCUUUAAAGGAAAAACUGCCAGGAGUGAUCCUCAUUAAUCCGAGCUGAAUUGUCUCUUUCUGGUUUUGUUUAAUCUUUCUUCUUUUUUUUUCUUUACACCUGUGAAGCAGUUUUAUGUUUGUAUAAAACACAUUUUCUAUAGCACA
Long non-coding RNA from Xiphophorus couchianus (Monterrey platyfish), 901 nucleotides. RefSeq lists it as uncharacterized. The transcript has 3 exons. The record is from RefSeq and is a predicted model, not a curated record. NCBI's taxonomy places the organism in Eukaryota, Metazoa, Chordata, Actinopteri, Cyprinodontiformes, Poeciliidae.